UACGUAGGGGGCGAGCGUUGUCCGGAAUUAUUGGGCGUAAAGCGCGCGCAGGCGGUCCCUUAAGUCUGAUGUGAAAGCCCACGGCUCAACCGUGGAGGGUCAUUGGAAACUGGGGGACUUGAGUGCAGAAGAGGAAAGCGGAAUUCCACGUGUAGCGGUGAAAUGCGUAGAGAUGUGGAGGAACACCAGUGGCGAAGGCGGCUUUCUGGUCUGUAACUGACGCUGAGGCGCGAAAGCGUGGGGAGCAAACAGG
This 253-nucleotide ribosomal RNA is filed under the name uncultured bacterium. RNAcentral describes it as "partial 16S ribosomal RNA". It matches the Rfam family "Bacterial small subunit ribosomal RNA", at positions 524 to 776 of the family's 1533-position model. The record is from RNAcentral.